CAUGGAUCUCUCAGGUCAAGCGCGCUAGAGCAAGUGUGCGGCCUAUUUCAGAGCCACUCCGCCGCGUGGCUCAACCUCCCUGACGAGCGCCGCCUCGCCCAGUCGCCGACCGCGACAAGAUGGAUCAGCGCGCCUCCUUCCCAAUCGCGCGCGGAAGCCCCUUGCAUCCCUUUCCGCCUUGUCUCGUCUUGCCCAAGAUCUUGCCGACCGCGCCAGGCGCCCUGUCGCUGCUGCGACCAAGGAUUGGCCACUGCCGCGCCAGUCCGCC
This 268-nucleotide long non-coding RNA is filed under the name Setaria viridis. RNAcentral's name for it is "long non-coding RNA (SVIR_LNC010406)". The record is from RNAcentral. Lineage: Eukaryota; Viridiplantae; Streptophyta; Magnoliopsida; Poales; Poaceae.